This is a non-coding RNA of Ceratotherium simum simum (southern white rhinoceros), 101 nucleotides long. The record is from RefSeq and is a predicted model, not a curated record. Lineage: Eukaryota; Metazoa; Chordata; Mammalia; Perissodactyla; Rhinocerotidae.
CAGUGGAAAAAACGACACCUUACCUAUAAGGGAAAGAUGAUUCAAAUGACAGUGGUUUUCUCAUCAAACACCAUGGAGGCCAGAAGGAGGUGGUACAACAU